Molecule: long non-coding RNA, 1085 nt
Filed under: Oryctolagus cuniculus (rabbit)
Lineage: Eukaryota; Metazoa; Chordata; Mammalia; Lagomorpha; Leporidae
Description: lncRNA (ENSOCUG00000034111.1)
Source: RNAcentral
UCUUCCCAAACAGGUUAAGAUUGGGGUAGAUGUUGCUUCUAGGUGCUCCCCAAAUGCCUUUUGCCUACAUUUACUGUAGCCCUGUAGAUUCUGGGUUGAAGCUGCCUAUUGUUUCCUGAGUCUCCAACUAAUGUGCAUGCUCCUUUGGGCCAUGACUUAACCUUGUUCACUCUUGUCUACCCAGUAGUUAGCAUAACGCCUGGCACACAGAAAAUGCACAGGAAGGCUCUAAUGAUUUGUACAAGAUUACAUGGCUAAUGGGUGGCAGAUCUGGGUUGAAAACCAGAUCUGUCUGCCAGUGGGGCAUUUAUUUCCCACUGUGCUGAGAAAGAAAUCUGCCCUUCAGAUACACACUCAUCCAAACACAGUUUUUAAAAUCCAGUCUCAAGGGUAUUCACAUGGUACACAUUGACACUCUGUUAAAGACAGACCCACAAUGAAAGUAAAUUAUUAGAAAUUCUUCCACUGAAGUGUGACAAAAGCUGGCACCACAUGUGGUGUUUAUACCGCAGGGCGGCUUUGGCCCAGGAAUGGGCCCCAGUGUGAUUCUCAUGCAAUGGAACAAUAAUAAUAGCUCUGAACCAGCCAUUUGGAAUGAAUAGAUCACGGAUGAGCUGCACAAAUGCAUCUUGCUCCUACCUAACAAUGUUAUUUCAUAGAACGCAUCCAAAAUACGGUGAGUGGUUCAACUACGUGAUUUGUGGGUUUUUAAAAUGCAUUUUAACUCUUUUCACUUUAGUUAAGUGCAUUUUAACUUAAUUUUCAUUAUGUGUUAUAGUUUAUAAUGUAAUUAAGUGAUGGGACAAUGGGUCUUUCAGUUUGAGCUCCACUAAUGAAUUAUGCAAGAGUCUCUAAGUGUUUUUUUUCUUUUUGAUCAUUUUGAUGUUCAACUUUUAGAUUGUGGUGGCAUUACAGACCGCUGCAGCUGGGCGAAGAAGAAAAGAGAACUCAACAAUGGUCGCCACAGCUGUGCAGAACGUUUGAUACUCUCGUCAACAGCUCCUGCAGCUGGGCCGAAUGCAUUUUACAUCCUCUUUGGCAGCAUACGCGUCUACUUGGGGGCCCCCACCACAGCCUUCCUUUGA